Long non-coding RNA from Canis lupus familiaris (dog), 796 nucleotides. RefSeq lists it as uncharacterized. The transcript has 3 exons. The record is from RefSeq and is a predicted model, not a curated record. NCBI's taxonomy places the organism in Eukaryota, Metazoa, Chordata, Mammalia, Carnivora, Canidae.
UCCCUCCUCCUCUGCCUGCCCGCAGCUAAACCUAACUCAUGCAAAAGACUGAGCCUAUCCUAACUCCAAGAACAUUUAGGGAGCUCCUCAGAGGAGGGCCUUUCAUAUUCAUGUCAGGAGAGGAGUGGCGGUGUUCUGCACAAAGAGUCAUAGAAGAAAAUAUUAAAAUAUUAAAACAAUGCAUAAAGAUCUUCAAAUCAAGAUGGGAGGCGGUGAUUUUACAGAAGCAUCACCACGUGGUGAACCUGUGGCCUCAGGGGAUAGGAGGGGGGACAGAACAGGGCAGGACUGAAGAUACCCAGUUGUCAGGGCAGAGCACCUGAAGCAGGAGCACAGCAGGAGGGGAUGCUGGUGGCUGUGGUCCCAGGAGAAGGCGGGGAGAGAAGCGGGAAGAGGACUGUGUGAACUGGGGUCUCUGCUAUGAGGAGCCCCUGAGAUGGUGCUGCUGUUGCUGCAGGGGAUCCUCAAGUAGGGAGAGGCUUCUCUGUGCAUGAAGGAGUAGAAGAUCUGGGGAAGGAGCACAAACACUGAAUUCCUAGCUGAGAAACGGGAGACCCUGACCUUGAGCGUCAGGAUCAGUGCCCACAGCCUGAGCCAGGUGUGCAGGCCUGGACUGUCUCCAACUGUCCCCCCUGCUCCACUACUUCUCCAGGAUCAGAGUGAGGCUCAGGGUCAGGAACAUCCCCAGGGCAGGGACCACAUGGACAAAGACAUCAGGGGUGUUGCCCCCAUGGACUCCAAGUCACAGAGAGAGAGAGAGAGGCGCAGAGACACAGGCAGAGGGAGAAGCAGGCAC